UAGGCAGAACCUUGUUUUUUGGUCGCCCACUGAAGCUAAGCAGGGCUGUACCUGGUCAGUACCUGGAUGGGAGACCACAUAGGAAAGCUAGGUUGCUGCCGGA
Molecule: non-coding RNA, 103 nt
Organism: Danio rerio (zebrafish)
Lineage: Eukaryota; Metazoa; Chordata; Actinopteri; Cypriniformes; Danionidae
Source: Rfam